CUUUCGAUCUCUGGAGAGCGGCGGCGGCGAUCAGCCGGCUGCCCACCGAAGGGGCGCGCGAGGCUCGGUAGCCACCCGUUGGCAACCCGCCGCGCAAUCUCUCAGGUACCGAGGACAGAGGGGUCAUC
RNAcentral lists this non-coding RNA (128 nucleotides) under Pandoraea thiooxydans. Its description in RNAcentral is "Glycine sequence". It matches the Rfam family "Glycine riboswitch aptamer". Rfam says of the family: This family represents the bacterial glycine riboswitch. Glycine riboswitches usually consist of two metabolite-binding aptamers domains with similar structures in tandem. The aptamers cooperatively bind glycine to regulate the expression of downstream genes. The record is from Rfam by way of RNAcentral. Lineage: Bacteria; Pseudomonadati; Pseudomonadota; Betaproteobacteria; Burkholderiales; Burkholderiaceae.